UACGUAGGGUGCGAGCGUUGUCCGGAAUUAUUGGGCGUAAAGGGCUCGUAGGCGGUUUGUCACGUCGGGAGUGAAAACUCGGGGCUUAACCCCGAGCCUGCUUCCGAUACGGGCUGACUAGAGGUAGGUAGGGGAGAAUGGAAUUCCCGGUGUAGCGGUGAAAUGCGCAGAUAUCGGGAGGAACACCGGUGGCGAAGGCGGUUCUCUGGGCCUUACCUGACGCUGAGGAGCGAAAGCGUGGGGAGCGAACAGG
This 253-nucleotide ribosomal RNA is filed under the name uncultured bacterium. RNAcentral's name for it is "partial 16S ribosomal RNA". It matches the Rfam family "Bacterial small subunit ribosomal RNA", at positions 524 to 776 of the family's 1533-position model. The record is from RNAcentral.